UUAAUAGAAGCCAAAAUAGAGGCAUGUCUUUGUUAAUGACAUUAGUGGUGUUUGCCCUGUUAAU
RNAcentral lists this transfer RNA (64 nucleotides) under Cyamus boopis. RNAcentral describes it as "tRNA-Asn". The record is from RNAcentral. Lineage: Eukaryota; Metazoa; Arthropoda; Malacostraca; Amphipoda; Cyamidae.